CUGAAGGCACAACCGUCCGAUCAUCUAUUAACCAUGCAAUCUUAACCGUCCAUUACUUUUCUUGAUCCACUAUAUAUAUCUGACACUUUUAUAAAUUUCUGAUUCCUUUUCUCUCUCCUCUUAACCAUGUAUUCUUCUCCUCGAUCAGAUUUCUCGAAACAAAUUUUCUUUCUUCAAAUUAUUCAGUUAAUCGUGCUUCAAAUUAAUCAAUAAAUCGUUCUUCAAAUUCAUUGAUUAAUUCUUCGAUGGUUUAUUUGGUUCGCGUCUAUUCCCGAUUAUUUCUUCACUUUUUGCAGAUUUGAUUGAUUUCGGAGGACUCUUGCAGUGCUCUGAUAUUUGGACUAGACGACUAGUGGUUUGGUCUUGCUUGAUCGUCGGAUGUUCUGCGCGAUUCAGCGAGCUGAUAGGGCCAUAGAAGAUGAUGGCUGCGCUGCUGUUUGGCUCUCCCAAUUUUAUGGUGUGUUCAUAUAAUAUGUACUGUGUUAUUGGUGAGUUUAUUAUAUGUGGAUGAGAUAGACAGAUAGUGGCAUUAUUAGGGUUAGUGUGUUGGGGAGAAUGGAGUGUUUUCCUUGUUGUGAAUUUGGAGUGUUUUCCUUGUUAGUCGACCUUUGCCAUGUUGGGUGCGCUUGCUUGGCAGGUCACAAUGUCAAUAAAAGAUCGUUUUUGUGGUUUUGUUGGGAGAUGGCACGGGGUUUUUCCCGGCUCUCCCAACGGUGUGUGCGUGUGUUGUUUCUGUUUUUCUUUAUUUGUCUCCCUUUCCCUGCACCCGUUGCGCUUGAAUCAUCAACUCCAUCGCUAUUGUCGCAUUGAUCAAAUCCACAAUCAAAUGAUUGCGUUGGACAACAUAUGGCCAAGAUCCAAAUUUGCCAAGGUAUAUUUAUCAAAAUCCUUUCUAAUUUCCCUCUUUCACUACUUAGUAGUUAGUACGACUAAAUUGCAAUGCAAUCUGCAAAGGUGAAGGUGGUGUCAUUAUUCACAUCAAGGCGUCUUACAAUUGGUGUCUUCGAAAUUGUUUGCAUGCACAGAACCUUACUCUUUGAAAUUUUGCAUAUUAGGGCUUCAAGGCCUCCUACAAUUGUCUUGUACAGAGUAUAUUUUGGGAAAUUCUGCUUAUUUAGAACUUAAUUUAUUUUCAGAAUGUCGAGCAUGUAGAACGUCUCUUCAUUAAGUUACCCAUACAAACUUACUCCAUAACUUCCAUGAACAUAACUUCCAUGAACAUUCUCAUGUGGAAAGCUACAUUCAGUUCCCAUAUUUAUCCAAAGGAUAGGCAACCAUGUUCUUGCAUAAGCUACUCUGAUUAAGCAACUGACACGCAAUUUGUAGAGGGUAUUGUAAAUGUGAAUACUACUUGCCAAUUGCACAGAUAGGUCAUCCUUGUUUAUAUGUACUGCACAAUCGUAUAUGUGUACGCUGCACCAAUCCUCAUAUGUCAAUAUGUGUGUAGUUACCCCAUACAGAUUAUAAUUUUUUGAAAACCAUAUUGUUUGGGGUUGUUUGGCAAUCUCCCAACCAUGUAAGUAUUUAGUUUCACAGCUUCAUGCCACUGUAAGUCUGUAAUCCUUGAAGUAGAUUCUAAAUUUAUCUAUUAUACAUUCUGUUCAGGCAACUUGAUGCUCAAUUUUAUUCAAACAAUUUAUUACCAAUGAGUAAUUUUAUUUAUUUUAUUUUAUAUUAUAAAUUAAAAUUCUGCUCUUUGUUGCUUUUGUUUUGCAUUUUACAUUACUUUGAACCGAGAACAAUAGUGGUGAGUCUUGCAAGUGUUUAAUUAUUGAUGUAAUAGAAAUUGUGUCAUUCUCCUUGUACACUUUUGUAUUUAGAAUUUCCUCUACAAGUUUUAUUCAUUUUAGGUGCCAGACUGUUGAUACUCUAACGAUAUGUGGCCAAGUUGCUGUUCUGAUUUUGAGGAUCGGAUCCCAUCUGCACGCCUACAACUGUCGCCGCUUGUUAGUUUUGCAUGGAUGGUUAGCCUAGCAAUGAGGCACUGUCAAAUAUGCUCGUUAGAAAGCUUUGAUAUUUAUGAUUACAGUACUUGUUCACAGUUGAAUGUAAACUGAAUAUGUUUUCAAUGCCAAAGGAAUCAAGAAUAGUUGAAGUGUUGAUUGUUGAUGCUUGAUAUGUUUUGUGAAAAUCACAACUUCAACGAUUCAAUGCUGAGUUGCUGUUGUCAAAGUGAGAUGUGCACCUGUUAAUAAUAUUUCUUGAUUGAUUGUUAACUA
Molecule: long non-coding RNA, 2219 nt
Organism: Chenopodium quinoa (quinoa)
Lineage: Eukaryota; Viridiplantae; Streptophyta; Magnoliopsida; Caryophyllales; Amaranthaceae
Exons: 2
Source: RefSeq, a predicted model, not a curated record